GCCGGGGUGGCCGAGCUAGGUCCAAGGCGCGGGACUCGAGAGUAAAGCAAGACAUCCCGUCCCCGCAAGGGGGCCCGGGUUCAAAUCCCGGCCCCGGCA
This 99-nucleotide transfer RNA is filed under the name Vulcanisaeta souniana JCM 11219. RNAcentral's name for it is "tRNA-Ser". It matches the Rfam family "tRNA". From Rfam's summary of the family: Transfer RNA (tRNA) molecules are approximately 80 nucleotides in length. Lineage: Archaea; Thermoproteati; Thermoproteota; Thermoprotei; Thermoproteales; Thermoproteaceae. The record is from RNAcentral.